RNAcentral lists this transfer RNA (106 nucleotides) under Planosporangium thailandense. RNAcentral's name for it is "tRNA-OTHER". Lineage: Bacteria; Bacillati; Actinomycetota; Actinomycetes; Micromonosporales; Micromonosporaceae. The record is from RNAcentral.
GCGAGGCCGGAACGAGACCGCUGACCUCGUAUUCGACCCCAUCUGAUCUUGCUGCGAGUAGCUACGGAUCAGAAGGUUAGGGGUUCGAGUCCCUUCGGGCGCGCCA